GGGGACGUUACGGAUUCGACAGGGAUAGUUCGAGCUUAGGCUGCGAGUCGAGGGGACCGUCCUCGUUAAUAACGUCGCCUAAAUUAUAACUGGCAAAGAAAACAACUACUCUCUAGCAGCAGCGUAAGCUGCCUAGAGGAUCCUGGCUUCCAUCGCCCGUGUGGAAGAUUGCAGGGUCUCAAACUGAACGGGCUACGCUAACAUCCACCGUCUGAGGAUGUUAGAAGAGACUAAUCAGACUAGCUCCUCGGACGCCUGUUGGUAGGCAUAAGAGAGAGCGAAUUGCAAAUAUGCCAACUACACUCGUAGAUGCCUAAGUGGCGAUGUCUCUGGACGUGGGUUCGACUCCCACCGUCUCCACCA
Molecule: small RNA, 363 nt
Filed under: Bacilli
Lineage: Bacteria; Bacillati; Bacillota
Also listed under: 1 other name
Description: Bacillus_AV sp020524525 Standard tmRNA
Rfam family: transfer-messenger RNA
About the family: Bacterial tmRNA, also known as 10Sa RNA or SsrA, is named for its dual tRNA and mRNA-like properties. Its role is to liberate the mRNA from a stalled ribosome.
Source: RNAcentral